GAAAACGUAAUAAUUCGGGUAAUCAUUCUCUUGUCAUGUCCUCUGCUGUCCCUCGUAAUGAGGUGUUUCCCUCUGCUAUAAGCAAAAAAACUUUGUCUCUCUCAGGUUCGGUGGUGUCCCAGAAACCACCCAGUAAGAGAAUAUGAGUGCCAUAGCUUGGAAUUGUCAGGGCGCCGGAGCUUACCUGACCAAGAAACAUCUCCGGGA
Molecule: long non-coding RNA, 207 nt
Filed under: Brassica rapa (field mustard)
Lineage: Eukaryota; Viridiplantae; Streptophyta; Magnoliopsida; Brassicales; Brassicaceae
Description: long non-coding RNA (BRAP_LNC002607)
Source: RNAcentral